This 468-nucleotide ribosomal RNA is filed under the name uncultured bacterium. RNAcentral describes it as "partial 16S ribosomal RNA". It matches the Rfam family "Bacterial small subunit ribosomal RNA", at positions 28 to 507 of the family's 1533-position model. The record is from RNAcentral.
GACGAACGCUGGCGGCGUGCUUAACACAUGCAAGUCGAACGGAAAGGCCCUGCUUUUGUGGGUUGCACGAGUGGCGCACGGGUGAGUAACACGUGAGUAUCCUGCCCUUGUCUUUGGGAUAACUUCAGGAAACUGGGGCUAAUACCGGAUAUGAGCUCCUGCUGCAUGGUGGUGGUUGGAAAGUUUCGGCGGUUGGGGCUGGUUUAGCGGCUUAGCGGCUUGUUGGUGGGGUAGUGGCUUACCAAGGCUUUGACGGGUAGCCGGCCUGGGAGGUUGGCCGGCCACAUGGCUACUACGAGACGGCCCAGACGCGUACGGGAGGCAGCAGGGGGAAAUAUUGCACAGUGGGCGGAAGCCUGAGGCAGCGACGCCGCGUGCGGGAUGACGGGUUUCGGGUUAUAAACCGCUGUCGCCUGAAACGAGGCGGGAGUGACGGUAAUGGGUAAAGAAGCACCGGCUAACUACGUG